RNAcentral lists this ribosomal RNA (361 nucleotides) under Furcifer major. RNAcentral describes it as "partial 16S small subunit ribosomal RNA". It matches the Rfam family "Bacterial large subunit ribosomal RNA", at positions 1965 to 2555 of the family's 2925-position model. Lineage: Eukaryota; Metazoa; Chordata; Lepidosauria; Squamata; Chamaeleonidae. The record is from RNAcentral.
UCACUUGUCCCUUAAAUGAGGACGCGUAUGAAAGGCAACAUGAGAGAACACCUGUCUCCUAAGGAAUGCCAAUGAAAUUGAACUACCAGUUCAAAAGCUGGUAUAAAAAAGCAAGACAAAAAGACCCUGUGGAACUUUAAUUAACUGCUUUACAUAACAAAACCAGUAAUUUCAGUUGGGACAACUUUAGAAAAAAUAAACUUCCUAAUUUUACUAGACUAACUAGUCCAAAACAUCAUGACCCAGUAACACUGAUUAACGAAACAAGCUACCCCAGGGAUAACAGCGCCACCUUCUCAAAGAGUCCAUAUCAACAAGAAGAUCUACGACCUCGAUGUUGGAUCAGGGUACCCCGACGGUG